Molecule: ribosomal RNA, 641 nt
Filed under: Nonomuraea sp. I13A-01609
Lineage: Bacteria; Bacillati; Actinomycetota; Actinomycetes; Streptosporangiales; Streptosporangiaceae
Description: bacterial SSU rRNA
Rfam family: Bacterial small subunit ribosomal RNA
Source: RNAcentral
AACGGGUGAGUAACACGUGAGCAACCUGCCCCUGACUCUGGGAUAAGCCCGGGAAACUGGGUCUAAUACCGGAUACGACCGCCCCCGGCAUCGGGUGGUGGUGGAAAGUCUUUUCGGUUGGGGAUGGGCUCGCGGCCUAUCAGCUUGUUGGUGGGGUAGUGGCCUACCAAGGCGACGACGGGUAGCCGGCCUGAGAGGGCGACCGGCCACACUGGGACUGAGACACGGCCCAGACUCCUACGGGAGGCAGCAGUGGGGAAUAUUGCGCAAUGGGCGGAAGCCUGACGCAGCGACGCCGCGUGGGGGAUGACGGCCUUCGGGUUGUAAACCUCUUUCAGCAGGGACGAAGUUGACGUGUACCUGCAGAAGAAGCGCCGGCUAACUACGUGCCAGCAGCCGCGGUAAUACGUAGGGCGCAAGCGUUGUCCGGAAUUAUUGGGCGUAAAGAGCUCGUAGGUGGCUUGUCGCGUCUGCCGUGAAAGCUCGCAGCUUAACUGCGGGUCUGCGGUGGAUACGGGCUGGCUAGAGGUAGGUAGGGGAGAACGGAAUUCCUGGUGUAGCGGUGAAAUGCGCAGAUAUCAGGAGGAACACCGGUGGCGAAGGCGGUUCUCUGGGCCUUACCUGACGCUGAGGAGCGAAAG